AAAUACUACCCAGUGACCGAUAGCGUAUAGUACUGUGAAGGAAAGGUGAAAAGCACCCCGGGAGGGGAGUGAAAAAGAACCUGAAACCCUGUGCCUACAAGCACCUAGAGCACGUCAAUGUGUGAUAGGGUACUUUUUGUAGAACGGUCCGGCGAGCGAUUGUAUGCAGCAAGGUUAAGGACUUAAGGUCUGGAGCCGAAGCGAAAGCGAGUUUGAAAAGGGCGUUAAGUUGCAUAUAAUGGGCCCGAAACCGGGUGACCUACCCAUGGUCAGGUUGAAGUGGAAGUAAAAUUCCAUGGAGGACCGAACCGACCUCCGUUGAAAAGGCGGCGGAUGAACUGUGGGUAGCGGAGAAAUUCCAAUCGAACCCGGAGAUAGCUGGUUCUCCCCGAAAUAGUUUUAGGACUAGCCUCAAGUUAGAUACCUGGAGGUAAAGCACUGAAUAGCCUAGCGGCCGAGAGGUUAGCGAAGCUUAUCAAACUCAGAAUGCCAGAGUAUUGAUGCUUGGGAGUCAGACAGUGUCAGAUAAAUGUCAUUGUCAAAAGGGAAACAGCCCAGAUCUACAGCUAAGGUCCCAAAGUCAGGUUAAGUGGAAAACGAUGUGAAGAUACGCAGACAACCAGGAUGUUGGCUCAGAAGCAGCCACUCAUUCAAAGAGUGCGUAAUAGCUCACUGGUCGAGCGUCUUUGCGCGGAGAAUUUAACGGGGCUAAACCUGACACCGAAGCUUAGGCAAUACAGAAAUGUAUUGGGUAGGGGAGCGUUGUAUACGCGGAGAAACAGUAGCGCAAGCGGCUGUGGAGUGUAUAGAAGUGAGAAUGCCGGAAUGAGUAGCGCGAAUGCAGUGAGAAUCUGCAUGGCCGAAAGCCUCAGGUUUCUGGAGGAAGGUUCGUCCGCUCCAGGUUAGUCGGGAGCUAAGGUGAGGCCGGAAGGCGUAGCCGAUGCACAGACGGUAGAGAUUCCGUCACCACCAAAAGAGUUAAGCACAGGGACACAUUUGAAGUCUCAGAGCCGGGUGUUGGUUCCGGUAGAGAUCGAGGGAAAUUAGUACCGAAGUCUGGGAUGGAAGAUGGCGAGAAAAGCUGUGUGUAUUUCUGAGGUGCCCGUACCGCAAACCGACACAGGUAGGUAGGAAGAAGAUUCUAAGGCCAACGGGAGAAGGGUUGUUAAGGAACUCGGCAAAUUGACCCCGUAACUUCGGGAGAAGGGGUGCUCCAGAGAUGGAGCCGCAGAGAAUCGGCCCAAGCAACUGUUUACCAAAAACACAGGUUUGUGCUAAAUCGAAAGAUGACGUAUACGAGCUGACGCCUGCCCGGUGCUGGAAGGUUAAGAGGAGAUGUGCAAGCAUUGAAUCGAAGCCCCAGUGAACGGCGGCCGUAACUAUAACGGUCCUAAGGUAGCGAAAUUCCUUGUCAGGUAAGUUCUGACCCGCAUGAAAGGCGUAAUGAUUUGGGCACUGUCUCAACAGCCCGCCCGGCGAAAUUGUAGUACCGGUGAAGAUGCCGGUUACCCGCGACAAGACGGAAAGACCCCAUGGAGCUUUACUGUAGCCUAAUAUUGGGUUUCGAUGUUGCAUGCACAGGAUAGAUGGGACACUGGGAAACAAUCGCUUUGGCGGUUGCGGAGUGGCCGUUGGGAUACCAUCCUUGCGAUAUUGGAAUUCUAACCUGCGGCUCUGAAUCGAGUCGGGGGACAUUGUUAGGUGGGCAGUUUGACUGGGGCGGUCGCCUCCUAAAGAGUAACGGAGGCGUUCAAAGGUUCGCUCAGCUUGAACGGAAAUCAAGCAAAAGAGUGCAAACGCAGAAGCGAGCCUAACUGCGAGACUGACGGGUCGAGCAGUAACGAAAGUUGGAGUUAGUGAUCCGGUGGUAUGUGAGUGGAAAUGCCAUCGCUCAACGGAUAAAAGUUACCCUGGGGAUAACAGGCUGAUCUCCCCCAAGAGUCCACAUCGACGGGGAGGUUUGGCACCUCGAUGUCGGCUCAUCGCAUCCUGGGGCUGUAUUCGGUCCCAAGGGUUUGGCUGUUCGCCAAUUAAAGCGGUACGCGAGCUGGGUUCAGAACGUCGUGAGACAGUUCGGUCCCUAU
This 2084-nucleotide ribosomal RNA is filed under the name human gut metagenome. Its description in RNAcentral is "bacterial LSU rRNA". It matches the Rfam family "Bacterial large subunit ribosomal RNA", at positions 468 to 2641 of the family's 2925-position model. The record is from RNAcentral.